CAGAACUGUACACCAAUGAACAGCAUGCAGACACUCUGAACUGUUCACCAAUGAAUUGCAUGCAGACACUCUGAGCUGCUCAGUAAAUGAUUCCAGAUUUGAGCGGUUAACCUAUCAGUGCAAUCAUGGGAAUGGGUUAUGUGCAGUGAUUUUGUGCAAGAUCAAGAAGCAGACGUGCACACACAAAACUCACAACACCGACUUCUUUUUACACCCUCACCAGACUGAAAUAUGGAGCAAAUCUUGGGCGAGCGGAGAAAAGAAAAACAGACAACAGAGUGAAGCCUCUUGCUGCAGUGUGUUGUAGUAACCUCCCAUGUGGAUAAAACGAGAGGAGCGAAAACACAGUAAUGAGAUGGGGGAAAAAGAGAGAGUCUAUGUUUGGGUCCAAUUUCUCUCCACAUUCAUCUUCACAGCACUGGUUUUGUGUGGGACUUGGAAUGAUGAGAUAUUUGGCACAACCCCUGUGUGAUGAUAUUUACUGAAGCAUGUUUACGCCCUUGGACCAUCCUGCAGUGUUAUGUUAAAUACUUUUGAGCUUCACUUUUUUUUUAGCACACUUCCUUGAAUUCCCUUCAUUUUCCAGUCUUUCUUUUGUCUGUUUUUUUACGUACAUUUACGUUCACCCUGCCUACUCAGUGAAAGUUUUUGUGUUGUUUUGAGUUUGUUGAAUUAUUUCUGGACAUGGGGGACAUGCGUCUGUGGGUAGGUUUGUGUGUGGCUGUGUGUUUCUGUGAGUAUCUGCAGUAUUCCAAAAAGCUGCAGCUCCCCUAUGUGGUCCAGCAGUGCUUUGCAGUGCAGUGGGAAAGACAUAGUCAGAUCCAAAGGGAACUGAGAAACCCUGUUCUGGUCCAGCCCAUGGAGAGUCAGCAUUCUCUGAGAGAAGCUAUUCAGGAAUGAUUCUUUAUAAAGGAUCAUGAUCAUUGGUUUUGUCACAUUAUUUACAUUGCCAGUCAAAAGUUCAGACAUACUUGAUGUUUCUCAUGAUCUUACAAACUUUUUGAUCUAAAGGCUUAUGCUUAAAUGUUUGGCAUUUGUAUUGUAGACAAAUAUAAAUUGUGCCAAUGUGCAAGUUACCUUACAAAAUGUAAUUUCAUUAUUCAAAUGGAUGAGUAGGUCUGUAUAGUGAAAUAAAGCAGCCAGCAUACAUGGAAACCCCAAUACUGUUUAAAAAGCAUCCCAUUCUAUGCUGGUUGAGAGAAUGACCGGAGUGUGCAUAACUGUCUUUUGGCAAAGGGUGGCUACUUAGAAGAAGCUGAAAUAUAAUACAGAUUUGUCAUAAAUAAUAUUCAGGGUCAUUUUUUAAUACAAGUUUAGCUCAAUCGGAAGCAUUUGUGACAUAACGUUGAUUACCACAAAACAAUAAUUUCGAGGCUACAGUGAGGCAAUUACAAUGAGGUUUAAAGGCAGAAAUGUGAAGCUAAUCAUUUUAUAAAAGCACCUACAUUAAUUAUUCUCUUAAAACUUGCAUAUUAUUUGAGCUUUAAAAUAUUUAAAAUGUAAUUUACUGGGAUUACAGGGUUGGUAAUACGUAG
Molecule: long non-coding RNA, 1535 nt
Organism: Xyrauchen texanus (razorback sucker)
Lineage: Eukaryota; Metazoa; Chordata; Actinopteri; Cypriniformes; Catostomidae
Exons: 3
Source: RefSeq, a predicted model, not a curated record